RNAcentral lists this small nuclear RNA (43 nucleotides) under Cervus elaphus hippelaphus. The record is from RNAcentral. Lineage: Eukaryota; Metazoa; Chordata; Mammalia; Artiodactyla; Cervidae.
AUCGCUUCUCGGCCUUUUGGCUAAGAUCAAGUGUAGAUUUAUU